CAGCCGCCGCGGUAAUACGAAGGGUGCAAGCGUUACUCGGAAUUACUGGGCGUAAAGCGUGCGUAGGUGGUGGUUUAAGUCCGUUGUGAAAGCCCUGGGCUCAACCUGGGAAUUGCAGUGGAUACUGGGUCACUAGAGUGUGGUAGAGGAUAGUGGAAUUUCCGGUGUAGCAGUGAAAUGCGUAGAGAUCGGAAGGAACAUCUGUGGCGAAGGCGACUAUCUGGGCCAACACUGACACUGAGGCACGAAAGCGUGGGGAGCAAACAGGAUUAGAUACCCCCGUAGUCCCUGUCUCUUAUAA
RNAcentral lists this ribosomal RNA (301 nucleotides) under uncultured bacterium. Its description in RNAcentral is "partial 16S ribosomal RNA". It matches the Rfam family "Bacterial small subunit ribosomal RNA", at positions 509 to 809 of the family's 1533-position model. The record is from RNAcentral.